This is a non-coding RNA of Macaca mulatta (Rhesus monkey), 72 nucleotides long. The record is from Rfam. NCBI's taxonomy places the organism in Eukaryota, Metazoa, Chordata, Mammalia, Primates, Cercopithecidae.
GCAUUGGUAGUUCAGUGGUAGACUUCCUGCCUCCCAUGUGGGAGACCUGGGUUCAUAAUCCUGGACAAUGCA